GGGGAUGUAGCUCAGUUGGGAGAGCGCCGCGUUCGCAAUGCGGAGGCCAGGGGUUCAAUCCCCCUCAUCUCCACCA
Molecule: transfer RNA, 76 nt
Filed under: Desulfovibrio sp.
Lineage: Bacteria; Pseudomonadati; Thermodesulfobacteriota; Desulfovibrionia; Desulfovibrionales; Desulfovibrionaceae
Description: tRNA-Ala
Rfam family: tRNA
About the family: Transfer RNA (tRNA) molecules are approximately 80 nucleotides in length.
Source: RNAcentral